Molecule: long non-coding RNA, 3579 nt
Filed under: Olea europaea (common olive)
Lineage: Eukaryota; Viridiplantae; Streptophyta; Magnoliopsida; Lamiales; Oleaceae
Description: long non-coding RNA (OEUR_LNC003964)
Source: RNAcentral
UCCAAUUGACCCGAACUAACAUGUAAAAUUAAUGUAAGAGUGAGUAUUUAAAAAUACCUAGUAAGAUACGUGCAAUUUCCAUACACAAUUACAUAACAAAUAAAUUAUACACUUCAUACCGCUCUUCUUUUAUGAAGUAUAUCGGUGACCAAGCGACACACCCAUCUUAAGUCCUCUUAAAUUCCCGUAGAAAUUGCAUAUCUCUUUCUCUAGAACUCAAAGGUCCACUAGCAAUUUAUGCAUAUUAAUUGUAUAUAAGAGCAUAAGGAAACUAAAACACUUUGCACAUAAAUGUAUCUUACUUGUCUUGAAAAAUCUGAAUGCACGUUCAAAAUCUUUUCUUCACUUUGAAAAACACGUGAUUAAAAUAUUUGAUGCAGGAAAACUUUAUUUCCAAUACUAUUCUCUCUCUUCCUUUCUCUCUCUCUCCUUUCUCUUUCUCUUUCUCUUUCUCUCUUCUCUCUCUUUACCGUAUGUAUUGUAUAAGAAUUGGUGUGAGAAUAACUUUUUUCAACGUGCCUAUAUUUAUAGUGCAGGAUUUUUGGAAAAGUGGGACACUGCUCACAAUUAAUCUUUAUCUGAGUCAACCAAAAAGAUUCAUUGGAUUUGUACUACACCUUUGUUUCUAUCUCAAUCAAGUCAUGUGCAAUAAAAUAUUCCUCAACCCUUUCCCAAUUUCAGCAGAAGUAUUAUUUUAUUAAUUAUCACCAAAAUUGAGGACUGCUGGAAGACUUCAUUUUCUUUAGGAGUUGUUAUCUAAAAUAAACAAAAAACAAACCCACUACACGUAACCGGCUAAUUAAGUUAAAAAAAAAAAGAUAGUUAUUUACUUAGGAUUACUAUUAACAAUUAACCUUUAUCCUAAUCAACUCUUAAAACUAAUCUAAAUUACCAGCCAACCAUCAUAAUUAACUUGAUCAGUUCCAUAUUUAUCUUUACCAAAAAUGUAACCCAUUCAUCUCUAUAGACACGUGGCUGGAUCCCUAUGAAAAUCCAAAUCCCAAAUCAAAGCAAAUAAAUCUAUUUAAAAUAAUACUACCUUAUCUAUCAUAACCUACCCUUGUACUAUGCCAAGAAAAUUGCCCAUAUAUUUUAUAUAAUAAGUAUGGCAGCCAUUAACUUAAUAAAAAGAUAACAGUAAGCAGAGUUUUAAUGCUAUCGAAACUGUCGAGCCUAGUUUCACAAAUAAUUUGGAUGAGAAAUAUUUUACAAUAAUAAAGUUAGGAUUAUCAUUAAACUAUAUCAUAAUCCAAUUGAAAUUACUAGUAAACUUAUUAAAAACAGGGUCAUGCGUGGCAGCCAAUUUUCCUAUUAAUUACCUACCAACUUAAUAAAUAACAAAGCUUACAUUUUUAGAACUACAAUAUCUCGGACCUAACUUAUCCGAAUUAUCUUUUUCUUUGGCCUAAAAUACACUAUUAAUUACAAGCUAUCCAAUGAGUCCAAUAUCGAUAUACUUAUACUUGCUCUAUCAAAAUUUAAUUAUUUGACUCAAAGUAUAAGAAUUUAAAAUAUAUUACCUCUUAGUCCCUCAACUUUUGAAACCAUAAAAUAUUAUAUAUAUUUAUUCUAAAAUUUUUGGGGUGUUACACACAUUGCCAACAUCUCAAAACUAUACUAGAGAUUCUACAGAAACAUCAGUUAUAUGCAAAGAAAUCCAAAUGCAGUUUUGGACAAUUACAAGCGGGAUACUUAGGACACAUAAUCAGCAAGGAAGGAGUUUCAGCUGAACUCGAUAAAAUUGAAGCUAUGCAGCUAUGGCCUGUUCCUAAGAAUGUCAAGCAGGUGAGGGGGUUUCUUAGAUUGACGGGAGUAUAUCCUUUGAACAAUUGAAGCAAGCUAUGAGCACAACUCCAGUGCUAGCUUUACCUGAUUUCACUAAGCCCUUUACAAUUGAAACCAAUGCAUGCCAAAAAGGAAUUGGGGCGGUACUAAUGCAAGACAGGAAACCGCUGGCCUAUCUAAGCAAAGCUAUUGGAGUUAGAAAUAUGGGAAUGUCCAUAUAUGAGAAAGAAUUACUGGCCCUUGUAACAGCAGUAAGCAAAUGGCGACACUACCUAGAGGGUCACCAUUUCAUUGUGAAGACGGAACAUCAAUCCGUAAAGUAUCUAUUAGAACAGAGGAUUACCACUCUUCUCCAACAAAAAUAGCUUACCAAGUUAUUAGGCCUCAACUAUGAAAUCAUUUAUAAGAGAGGGGUUGAUAAUGUCGUAGCAGAUGCUUUGUCAAGGAGACAUGAUGAACCAUCGGAAUGUCUAGGAAUAACUACAGUGGUACCUGCAUGGAUUCAGGAGGUCAUGGAUAGUUAUGAAGGAGAUAAGUUGGCUAAGGAAAAGCUUCAGGCUUCAUUAUUACAACCUGAGUUUGAUCCUACCUUCACCUACAUCAAUGGGUUGCUGAAACUCAAGGGGAAGGUAUAUAUCAAGACAGGAGGAAACAUCAUAACAAAGCUGAUAGAGAACAUUCAUAGCUCACAAGAAGGGGGACAUUCAGGUAUUCAUAACAGUAUCUAUAGAGCCAAGCAACUAUUUCACUGGCCAGGAAUAAAUAGGAUAUCAAGAGGGUCGUUCUACAGCGCGAGGUAUGCCAGAAGUGCAAGGGAGAACAUGUUGUGGAAAUCACAUAUCAAUCAUACUUUAAUUAUGGAGAUUGUAAUAUUUGUAGUAUGAAAUAUUUAGGACUAAUUUAGGAAAUAAUUUGUGGUAAAAUAUUAUCCUUCCUUUUCCAUUCCUUGUAUUGUUGUAUAUAUUGAAGGUGGAGUGUAAGAAUUAUGCACAAUAAAAAAAACAAAUGUUUCUUCAUUACUUCUUUAUGGUAUCAGAGCCAGGGUAAAAUCAAACCCGGCUAUCAAUGGUAGAUACCACUGCCAACAAUACAACUUUAGCCACUGCCGAGACCAGAACCAGUGAGACUGAAGCUGGUCACACCAUGGCGUCAAUUGGAAUUGCUAAUUCCUCAUUCCAACUCACAGUCGAGAAACUCGAUGGUAGAAACUAUAGAGAAUGGGCUCAAUCCAUUAAGCUCAUGGUCAAAGGAAAAGGAAAAAUAGGGUACCUUACCGGCGACGCAAAGCAACCUGCAGAUCCCGUUCUUCAGCAAAAGUGGAAAUCGGAAAACUCUAUGGUUAUGUCAUGGCUCCUCAACUCAAUGGCACCGUCAAUCAGCAAAAUCUACCUCUUCGUGGCGACUGCGAAGGACAUAUGGGACAGUGUUCAGGAGAUGUACUCCGACGCGGAAGAUGCAUCCCAGAUUUUUGAAAUAAAGACCAAACUUUGGAAGGCAAAACAGGGAGAGAGAAGUGUCAUUGAGUACUACAUGGAAAUAACCUCGUUAUGGCAGGAAUUGGAUCUGAGUAUGGAUGAAACAUGGGGUUGCCCUGGUGAUGGGGUUCGGUAUAAGAAGAGUUUAGAGAAUGAGCGUCUGUAUGAAUUUUUGGUUGGCUUAGAUAGAGACCUCGACGAUGUGAGAGGCCGGAUUCUCAGCCGCCGGCUACUGCCCACCACCCGAGACGCCUUCGUAGAAGUACGACGCGAGGAAAGUCGGCGUCUGAUUAUGUUGAAGAAGGAAGGGACUAGCCUU